Molecule: ribosomal RNA, 465 nt
Filed under: uncultured bacterium
Lineage: Bacteria
Description: partial 16S ribosomal RNA
Rfam family: Bacterial small subunit ribosomal RNA
Source: RNAcentral
GACGAACGCUGGCGGCGUGCUUAACACAUGCAAGUCGAACGGAAAGGCCCUGCUUGCAGGGUACUCGAGUGGCGAACGGGUGAGUAACACGUGGGUGAUCUGCCCUGCACUUCGGGAUAAGCCUGGGAAACUGGGUCUAAUACCGGAUAGGAGCCAUUCUUAGUGUGAUGGUUGGAAAGUUUUUUCGGUGUAGGAUGAGCUCGCGGCCUAUCAGCUUGCUGGUGGGGUAAUGGCCUACCAAGGCGGCGGCGGGUAGCCGGCCUGGGAGGGUGGACGGCCACAUUGGGACUGGGAUACGGCCCAGACUCCUACGGGGGGCAGCAGUGGGGAAUAUUGCACAAUGGGCGGAAGCCUGAUGCAGUGACGCCGGGUGGGGGAUGACGGCCUUCGGGUUGUAAACUCCUUUCGCUAGGGACGAAGCUGUUUGUGACGGUACCUAGAUAAGAAGCACCGGCUAACUACGUG